GCUUGCUCUUGCUAGAUAUCGCCAAGUUCUUUGGCAAGGAAGGGUUUCAAACUCACAGUUCACAGAUGAGGAGUUGAGAAGUCAGGGCCAUUGCCCGUUGACUUCUGAAGAGAUUAGAUUAUUGCUCGCAGCUUUAGGUUUCAGCACUAGUACUUGGCUCUAUCUUGCUUCACACAAGUUUAGUCUUGUACCUUCAAAAAUUAGGAAGUUUUACGUAAUCUUUUGGUGCUAAUAAGUUGGACAUUCAUGUGGUCGAUCACAUUCCUUGGGGAAACAGAUCUUUUAUUUCCUAUGAGAAUUUGACAGUAGAAGAAAUUUUCUUUUCAGGUUUAUGGUGUAGAAGCAAGGAUCUCUACCUUGAAGCAAUCAUUCCCCUUAAUGGAAGACAAGAAGGGCCUGGCCUCUGCAGAGGAACUGGCUGAAGUUGAAGGCUAGGCUUCUCUACUGGCUGCAGUUGACUAUUAUGUGAACUUGCAGAGUGACAUCUUUAUAUCUGCAUCAACAGGAAACAUGCAUAAUGCUUUGGUGGGAUACAGAACUUACCUGAACCUGAAGACCACAAGACCAAACAUGGUGCUGCUGGGCCCACUUUUGCCGAGCAAGAGCAUGGAGUGGUCAGAGUUUCAGCUUGCAGUUUUUAAUGGGCAUUAAAGUAGACAAGGGCAAAGUAGAAUGAGAAAGGAGAAGCAGUCAAUAUAUACAUACAUACCCUGUUCCUGAUUGCAUGUGCCAUUUAUAACUGGGAUGGAUGCAGGAGUUUUAAAAUGCAAUUUUAUGCGUAUUUAUCUGCAAGCACUACACUUUGUUCUGACCAUAGCUAGUGUCUAGAAUACUUGGGUUUUGCAUUUUGUUUGAAUUUGUGAUUAUUGAUGCA
This is a long non-coding RNA of Hevea brasiliensis (rubber tree), 874 nucleotides long. RefSeq lists it as uncharacterized. The transcript has 2 exons. The record is from RefSeq and is a predicted model, not a curated record. NCBI's taxonomy places the organism in Eukaryota, Viridiplantae, Streptophyta, Magnoliopsida, Malpighiales, Euphorbiaceae.